CCUACGGGAGGCAGCAGUCGAGAAUCAUUCACAAUGGGGGAAACCCUGAUGGUGCGACGCCGCGUGGGGGAAUGAAGGUCUUCGGAUUGUAAACCCCUGUCAUGUGGGAGCAAAUUAAAAAGAUAGUACCACAAGAGGAAGAGACGGCUACCUCUGUGCCAGCAGCCGCGGUAAUACAGAGGGCUCAAGCGUUGUUCGGAGUGACUGGGCGUAAGGCGUGCGUAGGCUGUUUCGUAAGUCGUGUGUGAAAGGCGCGGGCGCAACCCGCGGACGGCAGGUGAUACUGUGAGAUGGGAGUGGGGGAGAGGAGAGUGGAAGUGCAGGGGUAGGGGGGAAAGGCGGAGAGAGAGGGAGGAAAACGAGUGGCGAAGGAGACCAGAGGGAACAGAAAGGA
Molecule: ribosomal RNA, 394 nt
Filed under: uncultured bacterium
Lineage: Bacteria
Description: partial 16S ribosomal RNA
Rfam family: Bacterial small subunit ribosomal RNA
Source: RNAcentral